AUGCAGGCAGCGCUCCCCACGCCAUGCCCCCACCUCCGGCGGGAUCCGGGACCGCCGCUUCCCGAGCAGCGCCCCACGAGUCCAGCAGGCUUUGUCCUGCCGCUGUCCUUCCAGGAGCAAGCGCCCCAGGAGCGUGAGUCUACACAAAAGACCCCCAAUAUCUGGCCCGUCACGGUGACCUCUCCACCCGGGAAGGGCCCGGGGGCAACUUCUAGGGGUAGAGAAGGCGCGAGACAAGGGGACUGGGAGGGGACGAGCCGGGGUGUCUGCGGGCAGGGGCGCAGCUGGGGAGAGCGCGCACGCACGUGCACCCCCAGGGGCGCGCGCGGCGCGGGCACGAGGCGAGCUCCCUCGGACCGGAGCUCCAGGGGGCAUCCGAGGACUCCGCCGAGCCGCCGGCAGCGCCGCGCCCCGCCACGGCCGCCCGCCCAACUCCACCAGCGCUCGAGAGACACGCAACUCUCGGGACCACCUCCCCCGCGCCCCGCUGGACCCCGCGCUCCCCUCCCCGGGACCCUUGCGGCCCCGCCACCCCAUCCGCCGUCCAGAAGAUCCCCCCAGUUACAGCAGGCGGCAGCUGCCCUUUCCCGCUUCCCCGGCUCCGGCGCGGCCGCCGUGGGGGCGCAGACAUCCCCGCGCGCCCCUCUGUCUGCCCCGGACCCCAAGCCGGCAGAGAAAAGAAACAAACCGAAACUCACCGACCUUUCUCCGCUGCGGGCUCGGGCGCUUCUCUACAGAGGCGGCGGCGGCGACAACAUCGCUGGGUGGUCCCGACGCGCCCACCCCGCUCAGCCAGACGCGCGCCACGGGCCGGCGGCAGCAGCUCGUCCCGCCGCGAGCCACCGGGCGGAUGCGAACAGCGCGGCGGCGACGCCUGCUGCCCCAGCUCCGGCCCCGCCCGGCCCUUCGUGCGGCGCCCCCACCUGCACAGCCGCCCUCCGCGUUCGCGGUCAGACACCGCCGCCAGGCGCUCGGCACCGAGCGGGAGCUUUUUGUGUCUCUGAGACUCCGGCACCGAAGGGGGUGGGGGGAGAGGCUGGGCUCCGCACCCCGCAGCACCGCCCUCCCCGGCGGCUCCACCCUCCUCCCCGCCCCCAGCCCGACUGGCCCGGGACUGCUGCCGGUCCGUCCCGCAACGCCCACCUCCCCGGGGUGAGGGGCUGCCCAACCAUCCUCGCGCGCUCCCUCGGCUUUGCCCCCAGGGCCCACCCUCGACCAGGACCUCGACGCCGUCUCUCCACCGGUCGAAAGAGGCACCUGAGCUGGCGGCAGGUGUGCAAGGAGGUCGAGGCCGCCGGGAGGAGGCGCGAAGCCGAGUUUUCAGGAUGA
This 1329-nucleotide long non-coding RNA is filed under the name Callithrix jacchus (white-tufted-ear marmoset). RNAcentral's name for it is "lncRNA (ENSCJAG00000051917.2)". The record is from RNAcentral. Lineage: Eukaryota; Metazoa; Chordata; Mammalia; Primates; Cebidae.